RNAcentral lists this ribosomal RNA (509 nucleotides) under Streptococcus sp. HGB0079. Its description in RNAcentral is "bacterial SSU rRNA". It matches the Rfam family "Bacterial small subunit ribosomal RNA", at positions 60 to 553 of the family's 1533-position model. Lineage: Bacteria; Bacillati; Bacillota; Bacilli; Lactobacillales; Streptococcaceae. The record is from RNAcentral.
AGUAGACGCUGAAAGAGGAGCUUGCUCUUCUUGGAUGAGUUGCGAACGGGUGAGUAACGCGUAGGUAACCUGCCUUGUAGCGGGGGAUAACUAUUGGAAACGAUAGCUAAUACCGCAUAACAAUGGAUGACACAUGUCAUUUAUUUGAAAGGGGCAAUUGCUCCACUACAAGAUGGACCUGCGUUGUAUUAGCUAGUAGGUGAGGUAACGGCUCACCUAGGCGACGAUACAUAGCCGACCUGAGAGGGUGAUCGGCCACACUGGGACUGAGACACGGCCCAGACUCCUACGGGAGGCAGCAGUAGGGAAUCUUCGGCAAUGGGGGCAACCCUGACCGAGCAACGCCGCGUGAGUGAAGAAGGUUUUCGGAUCGUAAAGCUCUGUUGUAAGUCAAGAACGAGUGUGAGAGUGGAAAGUUCACACUGUGACGGUAGCUUACCAGAAAGGGACGGCUAACUACGUGCCAGCAGCCGCGGUAAUACGUAGGUCCCGAGCGUUGUCCGGAUUUA